Molecule: long non-coding RNA, 310 nt
Organism: Xiphophorus couchianus (Monterrey platyfish)
Lineage: Eukaryota; Metazoa; Chordata; Actinopteri; Cyprinodontiformes; Poeciliidae
Exons: 3
Source: RefSeq, a predicted model, not a curated record
UAAAUGUAAAAACUGCAUUGCAUUCACAACAGAAUCUGGUUUUCUAGGGCAAACACAUGUGGAUGCAUAUAAAUAUCAAUAAUUAUAUGUCUGAGGAGAGUUUGUUUAAUUAAUAACUGCUUAAAAAUCAACAAAUGUACAUGUAAACACCAGAUGGGUGUAAUGAUUUUCACCGCCACCAGAUGGCACCAAACACUCAAUCCAACUUGAAGAAAGGUCAAAAACAAAUCUCAUGACUUAACGCGAGGUUUAAACUGGUUUUAGUUCGGUUUAAACACAAAGUAUUGCUCAAUAUAUUUGGAACUCAAAG